UAAUACGUAGGUUGCGAGCGUUGUCCGGAUUUACUGGGCGUAAAGCGCGCGCAGGCGGUUCCGAAAGUUCACGGUGAAAGCUCCCGGCCCAACUGGGAGAGGCCCGUGAAAACUUCGGAACUUGAAGGCGGGAGAGGCAAAUGGAAUUCCCGGUGUAGCGGUAAAAUGCGUAGAUACCGGGAGGAACACCAGUGGCGAAGGCGAUUUGCUGGCCCGCACUUGACGCUCAGGCGCGAAAGCUAGGGUAGCGACCGGGAUUAGAUACCCCGUUAGUCCUAGCCGUAAACAAUGGUCACUAGGUGUUGUCGGUAUCGACCCCGGCAGUGCCGUAGCUAACGCAUUAAGUGACCCGCCUGGGGAGUACGACCGCAAGGUUA
RNAcentral lists this ribosomal RNA (377 nucleotides) under uncultured bacterium. RNAcentral describes it as "bacterial SSU rRNA". It matches the Rfam family "Bacterial small subunit ribosomal RNA", at positions 521 to 896 of the family's 1533-position model. The record is from RNAcentral.